ACAUUCCACCAAGCUAGUUCAACCAGAAAACUGAAAAUUUUGAGAAGAUAAUUAAAGAAAAUAGCUAUGUGUCUACCAUAGAAAAAUAUCAAGGAAUAUAGAAGUGGCAAAAUUACAAAGUUGGUUGCAACACUGUGGCUUAUUGCCUUAGAUCAUGAGCUUUGAAAUCACAGUCCUGAUUGUGAACCCUGUAUGUGGCAGUUUGGCAAGUUACUUAAACCUUAGGUUUCUUUAUGUAAAAUGGAAAUACAAAAUAAUAUCUGUUUUGCAGGGUUGUUGUGAAGCUUAAGAGAAUUACUAUAUAAAAUGCUUAACAUGUAGGGAGAAUUCAAUAAAUAUCCACUGUUAUUAGGCUAACAGAAAAAUCACAGAUCCUCAUACUAUCAUCAAUCAUGCUCACUUAUUUUAAUGGAAGAAAUAUGAUUAUAAUUCUGGUCUACACCUGAGGUGGGCAAGGGGAAGUAUGCGUGUAAAGUCUUCACCAUAUAUGUACAUAUAGAUUGGCAGUGGAAGUCUGGGAUUUAGUCAACUGGACCGGUACAUUCCUAAUUUCCUUAAAUCACCAGGUGGAUGCCUUCCUCUCUGACUUUGCUCACAAUAUUGCAUCUAUAGAAAGGAUUCUAUUUUCCUCUUCCUUCCCAUUUAUCUAAAUCUUUAACAUCCUUUAAAAUUCACAUUGUAUUUCCUUCCUUUGGGAACUUUCUUCCCUAGACAGACCAGUUUGCCCCGCCUAAGCGGACUUCCUCUGAGCUCCUUGCUUCUGUCUUUCAUUUUGCUCUUAUAAAUGGACUUGAUCUGUUACUUCUCUUUUCAAAAGUUUACAUGCUUCUGUUUAACUAGGUUUAAACUCCUUAGAGGCAGUGACCAUGUCUCACAGAGCCUAGCGUGCCUGAUAAAAAGGUUGGUUGUUUGGUGUCAGUGGGUACUGUACUUGAUGACACAUUCUGAGUUCCCACCAUCAUUUUAUCCUUUGUAUUGCCUCCUACUAUUCUGUGAUUGCAAAAGAACUCAAUAUUCUUUAAGUCAUUCUUUUAAGGUCAAACUCUGUGUGUGGCUAACAUGCAAUCGACCUCUGGCAUGAACAAUUUUCUAUUUUAAAAAUUAGUGUAUUCAUAAGCAUAGUCAUACUAGAAAAAAAAAUUUUUUUAAAAAUGAAUGUCACACAGAAUUUAAAUACAAACAGAGGAAUACACACGAGGAAGGGAA
This 1206-nucleotide long non-coding RNA is filed under the name Capra hircus (goat). RNAcentral describes it as "lncRNA (ENSCHIG00010011412.1)". The record is from RNAcentral. Lineage: Eukaryota; Metazoa; Chordata; Mammalia; Artiodactyla; Bovidae.